This is a long non-coding RNA of Herpailurus yagouaroundi (jaguarundi), 916 nucleotides long. RefSeq lists it as uncharacterized. The transcript has 2 exons. NCBI's taxonomy places the organism in Eukaryota, Metazoa, Chordata, Mammalia, Carnivora, Felidae. The record is from RefSeq and is a predicted model, not a curated record.
GAGCCAAGGAUGUGUUAGACACUGAAGAAUAACAACUCAGCCUUUUCUUCCCUCCCGAAUUCACAAUCCAAAUGGUGAUGGGGCAGGGACGGUCUGUUCUACAAAGAACUCAGAAAAAGGUACACAGGGUCUAAAACUAUAGAAGAAGAAGUCACUAACUCUGCUUUGCGAGGGUCCAGAGAAGGCUUCGUGUGCCGGGAUGUCAAGUGAGACCUGGUAUUAGUUAGGCUCAAAGGACGCUGUGUAUUUCCUGGAUGUGUGGAAAAAGUAACAGGCUGUCUAUGCAGAAAAGUAGGCAGUGACCGGAUCAUGGAUGAGUUUACCAGAUGACAAAGUGUGAAACUUCACCUAUCCUGAUGCUUCAGAGCACAACAAGGAAACAUUCAGGUUUCAGCUGUCAACAUGGCUCUGGCGGCAGAGAAAAGCCUGGGUGGGGAAGGGCAGGGCGGUCCCGAUCGCCAUUGGUGACAAAGAUGUGAUGGAGACAUUGCCAGUGGAAUGACGAAGAAGUCAGAGAAUUCUAGGUGAAAAGCGACGUACCUGAGGACUAAUUCGACGGGGGGCACCUAGGAAGUCUGACAGGCUUUGGCAGAAAUGACAACAUUAACUGAGGGACAGACAUCCGCAGAGGAGGGCACCACGUUCUGGCCAGAAAGCAUCAGUUGGGUCGCUGCUCAGAGUUCACUGACCUCAUCCGCUGAAUAUCAGAGAAGGAAAAAAAGAAUAGUUGAAUCUCCUGACUUGUCUCCAAAUGGCAAAUUUCCACCGUCCAUUACUUUAUGGACUAGCUGUUCGACUCAGUCCUAAAUGAUCUGAUAGACACUGUGCCUUAAAAUUAUUUCUGAUUCAAGCACUCCUGCUGGACAAUCAUGGAUAUUUUUAUUGAUUUUUCUUAAAUAUAAUUGCUCACUAUGAU